CGUACCUUUUGCAUAAUGGGUCAGCAAGUUAACAUUAGAUGCGAGGUACGAAAAAAUAUGAAAAAAACAAAGUAAUAAUCUUUUUCUGUUGGCUUCGUAACAGAUUCAGACGAUGAAAUGGAGUCUAGAUUAAAAGUAGUAUCCUAGAUAAACCAAUUAUUAAAUAAUGAUCAAGUAUCUAGUGUUAGACCCGAAGCCUAGUGAUCUUACCAUGAUCAGAGUUAUAAAAGCUCGAACGGGUUGUCGUUGUAAAGACAUCCGAAGAAUUGUGGUAAGUAAGUGAAAGACAAAACUGACUAGGAUAGCUGGUUUUCUGCGAAACCUAUAUAAGUAGGCGGUUUAAAUAAUAUCAUCGCAGGUAUAGAAUUGUGAUCUCAGGCAAGUUAUGAUUUAUAUCAGUUUGUAUACAUUGGGGAAUCGUGAAGAUUUUAUCAGUGAGGAUUUGCUCUCAGAAGGGCGAUGAUAAAUUUUAAACUAUCAGACAUAGUACGAUAAGGUUGUAUGUCUAAAGGGAAACAGCCCAGAACAAGAGUUGAAGGUUCCAAAAUUAUUGUUAAGUGAAAAAUAAGGAAGUAUUUUCCGAAUACAACCAGGAAAUAGGCUUAGAAGCGGCCAUUUUUUGAAGACCUCGUAACAGAGCACUGGUUUAAUUUUCUUAGUAAAGAAAAAAGUUAAAAGCGUCAAAAAUUCAACGGAUCUAAACAAUAUACCUAAACCUUGUCCAUAAAUAAAUUUGUUUAUGGGGUAGCGGAACGUUGGGUAAAACUUAGACUUUGCCCGCUGGGGCAAGGUAAGCUUACAUUAAGUUAAGUGAGAUAAUCCCAAGUGAUAAUGCUGACAUGAGUAACGAAAAAGGGAUAACCCCUCGCCUUAAGCUUAUGGUAUUCUUCGGAGAUUAAGUAACGGCCCCUAAGUUUAUUGAACUGCCCUAAAGGGUUAAGCGAUGGGAAAAUCUUUAUACAUCUGUAAACCUUUACAAAAUAUUUAACGUUUUGUCUAUUAGACAUUGCAAUAAACAUUUUAAAGC
RNAcentral lists this ribosomal RNA (1027 nucleotides) under Rickettsia endosymbiont of Ixodes persulcatus. RNAcentral describes it as "partial 23S ribosomal RNA". It matches the Rfam family "Bacterial large subunit ribosomal RNA", at positions 600 to 1525 of the family's 2925-position model. The record is from RNAcentral. Lineage: Bacteria; Pseudomonadati; Pseudomonadota; Alphaproteobacteria; Rickettsiales; Rickettsiaceae.